CGCGUAGGCGGUUAUGCUAGUCAGGUGUGAAAUCCCCAGGCUUAACUUGGGAACUGCGCUUGAAACUGCAUAGCUUGAGGCCGGGAGAGGAAAGUGGAAUUCCUGGUGUAGCGGUGAAAUGCGUAGAUAUCAGGAGGAACACCGGUGGCGAAGGCGGCUUUCUGGACCGGUUCUGACGCUGAAGCGCGAAAGCGUGGGAGCAAACGG
Molecule: ribosomal RNA, 207 nt
Filed under: uncultured bacterium
Lineage: Bacteria
Description: partial 16S ribosomal RNA
Rfam family: Bacterial small subunit ribosomal RNA
Source: RNAcentral